Molecule: long non-coding RNA, 778 nt
Filed under: Equus caballus (horse)
Lineage: Eukaryota; Metazoa; Chordata; Mammalia; Perissodactyla; Equidae
Description: lncRNA (ENSECAG00000052765.1)
Source: RNAcentral
GUGGGUUGCUUGCAGUUUUUGGCUAUUACAAAUAGAUCUGUAUGAACAUUCCUGAGUAGAUUUUUGUGUGAACGCACUUUUCCAUUUUACUUGGGUAAAUAUGCAGAAGUGGGAUUGCGGGCCUUGCGCUCGUGCAUGUUUAACUGUCUAAGGAGCUGCCUGUCUUCCAGAGUGGCUGCGCCACAUAGCACUCCCACCAGUAGCGAAUCAGAGCUCCUGCGCUCCGCAUCCUCACCAAUGUUGCCGAGAGACCCCCGCACCCCUUCGUUCACAUGGGCCUGAUUUCACUGUGGUUUUUCAGAGUCUGGCUGGGCCUUUGCUGGCAUUGUUUCCACUGAGACAUCUGCUGUUGCCCUUAUCUCAUUUCUUCUCCAGGAUGCCUACUACAGCAUGGCUUUUGUCAAGCAGUGCCAUGUCCGCAUCUGGGAUCCAAACCAGCAAACCCCAGGCCGCCAAGAAGCGGAACAUGCGAACUUAACCACUGCGCCACUGGGCCAGCCCCUGUAACAUGGGAGCAACAGGAGCCACUGGCCUUGACGGGGCCCAGACGCUGAGAAGGAUGGGCCUGUCAGGGCUGCCCUAGAGGACAGAGACCAGAGCUCCUGCUGCACUGCUGUGAUGUGCACCUGCUGUGGUUCUCUGGAUCUGUGGAUGCUUCACCAGGCUUUCCCAAGGCACCCCUACCUGGCCUCCUUACCCCAGGGAGUCUGCUCGGCGCCAUAGUCUUGGGACACCUCCUUAAACUCUCCAGAUAAGGGAGGUAAAAGAAAAAACAAAC